UACGGAGGAUGCGAGCGUUAUCCGGAUUUAUUGGGUUUAAAGGGUGCGUAGGCGGAGCGCCAAGUCAGCGGUAAAAUUGCGGGGCUCAACCCCGUCCGGCCGUUGAAACUAGGUGCCCUUCGAGUGAGCGAGAGGUAUGCGGAAUGCGUGGUGUAGCGGUGAAAUGCAUAGAUAUCACGCAGAACCCCGACUUGCGAAGGCAGCAUACCGGUGCUCAACUGACGCUGAGGCACGAAAGCGUGGGGAUCGAACAGGAUUAGAAA
This 263-nucleotide ribosomal RNA is filed under the name uncultured bacterium. Its description in RNAcentral is "partial 16S ribosomal RNA". It matches the Rfam family "Bacterial small subunit ribosomal RNA", at positions 524 to 784 of the family's 1533-position model. The record is from RNAcentral.